CGAAACGCUCCUGGGUUACCUCUCCCAGUCUUCCCUACGUUUUUCCUCGCCAGGGGCAGGUGAAAGUAGCCUCAGCUUAUCUCAGCUGGAGAUUUUUCUUUCUAAAUGCCGCCUAUCAGGAGUAGAUUGUGAUUUCCUGAUUAGGAAGCACACUAUCUUAAGCACUAUACGCUCCAGGAGACCAGGGAUCAUUUCUGACUUGUUCGCUGCAUUUUAGCAGUUACCUGGAAGAGUGCCUAGCACAUAAAUAGGAGGUGGGACUGGAGGUGCAUUCCGUUAAGAGCUGCUCAAGUAAGAAAAGCUGGCAAGAACUAGAUAGACAUGACUAUGUAGGUAAAUAGGAAAAUAAAAACCAGUGUGUGGUGUCCCCUGUCUCGUUCUUUGUUGAUGGAUACCUGGAGGGAGGUGAGAAGUGAGGAGGAGGACUCAAGAUGGUGCUGUGAGAACAACCCAGGAUUGAGGCUCUCGCUGGAUGCGUGGAGAGGGAACUUCCAAGGUGAUAAAGUUUUUUGUUGUACCCCAAACUCAACUCAACAUGAAUUUCUUUCUGAAGACAUAUUUCACUCUUCAGGCAGAAUUAGAUUACCUCAUCUUUGCUCAUGAAGCUAUGAGUUUGAAAUUCAUUAAAGAUAACAUUUAUUACAUUGUACUAAAACUGUUGGUUUAUUUAUAUGAUAUUUCAGUCAUCUAUGAGUUAUUUGAGAUUAUCUUUGCGUGACUAUAGCCUAGAAUGGUCCCUGGCAUAUGCACACUUGUAUGCAUGUUGUACUAGAAUGCUAUUGGGCUCCAACUAUUUGCAGGCUUAACAGUGCAAAUCGAUGAUGUGUGGCAGUCCAUGAUCUUAGUCCAUGAUCUUAGUCCAUGAUAUAAGGUUCAGUAGACUGUAAACUCUCAAGAACAAAGACUUGCCCUUCACUUCUCUGUAUCCUUAGCUUAAUACUGUGCUGAGGAAUUGCAAGGGUGAAUGUUGUGAAUUAGGCAGACAUAAUCACUAAAGUCAAAGAUUUUUUUAAAAAUCCCUGGCAAGAAUUUCCAAGAAGUAUGAGGACAUUCAGCUAAUUUCCUUGAUAGUAUCUUUUACCCCAAAUCGUCUAAUCUUAUAUAGGAUUCUUCCCCUGAACCAAGACCAGACUCCCAGAAACCCUGAACUAAGCUACCAUUUGUCUUAGAAAAAAGCAAUUAAUUGUUGCUCAAACAGUUGGUACCACUUGUCCAAAUCCUUGUAACUUACCUGAAACAUUAACUCUUGAAAGUAAUAGCUUGUGAAUAAUAGUUAAGGAGCACAUCAUAUGAGAAUAUGCACAUUUAAAUAAUGAACCCCUGGAGAUGUCUGGCAGUAGAGGAAAACUCUGUAAUGGCAUGAGUGUCAGACUCUGUGAUAGGCAGUAGGGAUGGGUAAGUGGGACUUUAGACACCCUAAAUUACCUAGACUCAGGUGACAUUCUCUUCUGCCAGUCUUAUUCUUAGGCAAGUGCACACACUCACAGUAGCAAGUCAGCAAGGGGGAAAAUAGAAUGUCACCAAUUUUGAUAAUUGAAAAAACAUCUCACAUCAUCAUGUUGUGACCCAAAUAAGGGAAGAUACAUUUUUUAAAUUGCUAUUUCAAUAGAUUUGAGGAUACAAGUGUCUUUUGUCACAUAGAUGAAUUCUAUAGUGGUGAAUUCUGAAAUUACAGUGCACUUGUCACCAGGUAGUGUACUUUAUACCUAAUGUGUAGUUUUUUAAUUCCUAUCCUCCUCUCUACCCUCCCCUUUAUACAUCUCUAAAAUCCAUUAUACCGCUCUGUAUGCCUUUGUGUACUCAUAGCUAAGCUUUGUUUUUCACUCCUGUGUUACUUCACUUAGAAUAAUGGCCUCCAGCUCCAUCCAAGCUGCUGCAAAAGACAACAUUUGGUUCCUUCUUAUGGCUGAGCAGCAUUCUGGUGUAUAGUUACCACAUUUUCUUUACUCACUCAGUAGUUGAUGGGCACUUAGGUUGGUCCCACAUCUCUGCAAUUGUGAAUUAUGCUGCUAUAAACAUACAUGUGCAAGCAUCUUUUUCAUAUGACUUAUUUUCCUCUGGGUAGAUACCUAGAGUGGGAUUGCUGGAUCAAAUGGUAGAUCUACUUUUAGUUCUUUAAAGAAUCUCUAUACUGCUUUCCCUAGAGUUUGAACUAAUUUACAUUCCCACCAGCAGCAUAUAAGUGUUCUCAUUUUUCCACACCCAUGCCAACAUUUCUUGUUUUUUGACUUUUUAAUAAUAGCCAUUCUUGCAGGAAUAUGAUGAUAUCUCAUUGUGGUUUUGAUUUGCAC
This is a non-coding RNA of Callithrix jacchus (white-tufted-ear marmoset), 2291 nucleotides long. The record is from RefSeq and is a predicted model, not a curated record. NCBI's taxonomy places the organism in Eukaryota, Metazoa, Chordata, Mammalia, Primates, Cebidae.